AAAGCUCAGAUUUAAGGGGUAGUUGGGUGUAUGAGGAUGUAGUUUGCAAUCAUGGUGUGGCAGUGCAAGAUCUGUCAGUGGAUAGCCUCCACAAAAGGAGGUGUCUUGAAGCACUAUCGAUUUCAUCAUGGUUCAAUUUACACAUGGCCAUUUUGUACUGUGUCCACACUCCAGUUGUCCAUGCUCUUUCAAAACACAGAGUGCCCUUAACACACAUUUAAGUAGAUACCAUAUACAUGAGGACAAUCAAGUGCCAGAAGUGCUCACUUUAAAUUGUAAAAGUUGUAGCACACAACAUUGUUCUGAGAAGGACUAUUUUCAACAUUUAGGUCAUCAUCUUAGAAGUCAUGAAACCAUAGAAUGUGUAUUUCAAGGGUGUAACUUUAAGACAAAUAGAUAUGGGACUUUUGUAACACACAGAAGCAGAAAACAUAAUCCUCACUCUUACAGAGAUUUCAAGACCGAUGUGUUAGUGAUGAAGGAGACUGAAUCACAUUCAUUUGAUACUAAGCUGCAGGACAGUGACACUGAGAACAGAUGUAUAGAUGGGGAUUACCAAAUGCAAGAUGAAUCACAGACAGUUGUGAACAAAAUAGCCUUGCUCCUGUUGAAGUUAGAGAGCAUAUACAAUGUGUCUUCCAGAUGCAUUGAUGACUUGGUUGAAGAACUCCGCUUUGUGUCUUGUUUGUCAUCCCAUUCCCAGUUGUUCAAAAACAUUGUUGAAUCAAGUUUAAGUAAGAAUAAUUGUGUCCUCAGUGAAGAGAAUGUCACUGAAUUUGUAAAUGAACUUUGUAAGUCCAACCCUAUUGUAAGAGCAUUAGAAGCAGGUGGUCCCCUUGGGUCUGCCUUCAAGAGAAAACAAUUUUUUAAGGACAAUUUUGAAGUUGUUGAACCAGUAGAAUUUGUUCUAGAUGCUGCUGAGAGUAGGCAAUAUCACUAUGUACCUAUUCUUGAGACAUUGCAGCAGGUGUUGAACAGCAAAAGUAUGAAAUUGGACAUGCUGAAACAUAAAGUUUCAAGUGACCCAUCCCAUAUUGAGUCUUUUGUAGAUGGCAG
Molecule: long non-coding RNA, 1056 nt
Filed under: Scleropages formosus (Asian bonytongue)
Lineage: Eukaryota; Metazoa; Chordata; Actinopteri; Osteoglossiformes; Osteoglossidae
Description: lncRNA (ENSSFOG00015029165.1)
Source: RNAcentral